This is a small nucleolar RNA of Eutrema salsugineum, 107 nucleotides long. It matches the Rfam family "Plant small nucleolar RNA R71". From Rfam's summary of the family: R71 is a member of the C/D box family of snoRNAs containing the C (UGAUGA) and D (CUGA) box motifs. Multiple nearly identical copies of this snoRNA have been identified in Arabidopsis, and it is thought to function as a 2'-O-ribose methylation guide for 18S ribosomal RNA. The record is from Rfam. Lineage: Eukaryota; Viridiplantae; Streptophyta; Magnoliopsida; Brassicales; Brassicaceae.
AACCCGUGGUGAAGACACUGAUUAGUGUAGCUUCGAAACCGUUCCCAAGCUUCUCCAAAGCUCUCAUUUGUGUGCUGUGUAAAGCUGGAGAUUUGGUUCCUGAGCUU